UAUCUAUGUAGAAGAUCCCAAAGAAUCUACAAAUAUGUGACCAGAACUAAGAAGGAAGCAAGGUUGCAGAAUACAAGGAUAUAAUACACAUUUAUUGUUUAAAAAAAUUGGAAAAUACAGUAAAGCACGGAGAAAAUAAAAUUCAUCAGUAGUAACCCCACCGACAACAAGAGGAAACAACAUCACUUCACCUCGGCAGGCUCUCAGGAGGUUCUGACAGUAAGCAGUUCGCAGUCCCCUUUUCAGAGUGAGUAAAAUUGUUUAUACACGUACUCCUGUGCCUCCUGAGAGGCCAGCCUGAAUGUACACUGUGCUGGGCACGCCCUGGGGCCACCAAAGGUGAUAAGGGCCUGGCCAUUGUCCCCAAAGUCCAGGCCGCUCUCGAAGCAGCUGGGCAGGAUGGUGGUACAGGGCCUGGGUCAUCCUUUGAGAGCACAGCAAAGACUAAGUCUACAAAGUACACGUCAAAAAGUGCGAGAGUUAAAUGUUCAAAAUGAGAUCAUAAAAGUACGAGAAAGACAUUGCUUGAAUCAGCCUCUCUUGUCUGACUGUGACAUUAUAAAGGAGGUUCCCCUUUCAGCAUCUGUGACACCUGGGUGUACAACUUUUCCUUUCCUCUCUGAAGUUCAGUUUGGUUUUUCUUAGGUUCCUACGAAGCUUGGAAAGUAGGUAGAGAUUUGGAUUUUCAUUAUUUUCAUAUAUAUCCUCAAUAAAGCCAUUAGGUGAGUUUCUUUAAAAGCUAUAACACGGUAUGAAUACUAUGAUCUCAUUUCUCUACAAAAUAAUGUGCAAAAUGAAAAAAAACUAGGAUAUUCUUUAAGAUUAACAUUGAUUUUCUUUGAGUGGUGAGAUAACAUGUAUUUCAAUUUUCUUUUUUGGGCAUUUCUGUCUUUUUGACAUUUUCUGUUAAUAAGUAGGAUUUUAAUAAUCGGGAAAAAUUCCAAUGCGUGUGAUUCGAAUAACAUAGAAAAGAAAUCUCUCCAGCACAAGACUGUUCUAAACAGGUAAGCAGCACCUCUUCCUUGGUUCUGCGUUCUGGAGGGGAAAGGUGGGCUGUGGAGCUGUAGCAGCACUGUGGUAGUAGAACAGCAGAUUCUAGGUCUCCUGGUGCUUGGGUGUCUUACCUGGGAUUUCUGGAGUACAUGCUGGCAUAUUCUUCCUUGACCUCCUCUAAGCUGUUUACAUUCCCAUCCUCCAGGUUGAAGGAUUCUAUGAGGGAAGUUGAAGUCAAGGGUCACACAUGAUAAAGUUGGGACUUUGUCCAGUCUCUCCUGCCUUUCUGGCCUGGGUGGACCGUGGGUGGUCGCUGAGCCCACCCAGGUUCAGUGUUAGGGAGUCAAGAGCCCAUUUUCACCUCUCCUUUUAGGUGUGGGGGGAGAGCACUAGAACAGGGGAAGAGUUUCUUGAACUGGACUUUCUCAGUUAAGACAUGGAAAGUACCCCUUUCAGAAUUCGGCUUCCACUAGCUUAUGAAACCCAAAUUCCCAGCCAGCCAUGUCUCCCAGCCUGAGUGCAAGGAAGGGAGACAGCUUCUGCCCUUUGCUUUUGAGUUGGCCAGGCCCCAGUCCACUUCUCUGGCCUCUCUGACCUGAGGAGUUCAGGCACCCUUCAACAGCACCUAGGAAGGAACUCAUCAUGCUCACACAGCCCGCUGACGUCUGUCUGUCCUGCCAGACGCUAAGCUCCCUGAGGACAGGGGCAUGGAUCUCACCGUACCCCUGGCCCAGGUGCAGUGGCACACAGUAGGCUCUCAAUAAAUACAUGUUCACUUGGCUUAACCCAAUCUCCCUGUUUUCAAUAGAAAAACAAACCAGCCCUUUCCUGGGAGGUAGAGGGGUGGCAGGUAGGGAUCUCUUACCUUUCAGCUUCAGCAGAUUAUCCAAGGUUUGUUCCAGUUCCUGAAUAUGAUUCUUCGCCCUAUUCAAAACCUGCCACUGAGGACAGAGACAGACAGUGCGGAAAAGUCAGGCUCCCACCACAGAGAUGGUUUUGCGGACACAGGAGCCCCUUUCCCGGCCUGAGGCCACCCUCCCUCGGGGGCAAAGCCCCAGUCCUUGACGCUGUCGACAGAAAAGACACCCGAUGCCUGUCAGGAGUCCCACACCUUCAUCAGGAAUGUAUGAGGGCAAAGCUGUUUGCUCAGCCCCGGGGACACAGAGUAAACAAGACAGCCCUGCUUUCAGGCCGCUGACAUUCUAACAGGGAAGAUGAGCAUGGAAACAACCACUCAACACACAAAACACUUAACAACUACGUGUAACCCGCGCUAGAAUUCAGUAAGCGCCGCAAAGCGCUGUGGGAACGCACGGCAGCGGGAGGAGGGGCCCAUCUAACUGGAGGGCUCGAUGGAGCAGGGCAUCUGCGCAGCUGAGCUCAGCUGAGCCCCGGAUUAUGCAUGGACUCUGAAGGGCUGGGGGACGCAGGCCUCGCUCAGGGAGCUGCGGAAAGAAAGGAGAUGGGGAGGCGGUGGGAGAGGACGCCACAGCAGCCAGGGGCCCACAGCCCAGGGGCUGCCAUUCUAGACUCCCGCUGCCCUGGCUGGUGCGCAAGAAGACUUGAGGGGCGCUCACAGCACAGCGCUCUGCAGACCCAAAAGACAGCGACAGGAGAACACGGUGGACUACAGGACCUCCUUUAGCGCAGGGGCCACCUGCUGUCUUACACCAUCUGCUGCCCCCGGCCCACCCCGGCUUCAGGAUUAUACCGUUGGGUCAGCAAGGACUCUGUCCCCUCUUCGGACACGAGGGGCUGACAGGUGGCCCGAACCUCAGGCUUGUUCUUAGAGUGAGGUGAGGACUUUCUAGUCCUCUGGUCCAGGCCGGUCAGCUGUGUCCACACAGCCGGGCCACCCCACGCUCACCUCGCAGUCUCACUACGUCAACUGGACCAGCAUAGAGCCAGGUAAGCCGGGUGCGAUUCAUUGAAAUUCUGUUUCUAGAACGGUUUUGGCAGGCUGAUGUUCUUAGGACCUUUCUCUGGGUUGAAUUGUGUUCCCCUAAAAAAGAUAUGUUGAAGUCCUAACCCCCAAACUUGUGAGUGUGACCUUAUUUGGAAAUAGGGUCUUUCUAGAGGUAAUCAAGUUAAAAAGAGGUCAUUAGGGUGAGCCCUAAUCCAGUAUGACCAGUGUCCUUAUGAAAAGGGGGAAUUUGGAUGCAGAGACAGACACACACAGAGGGAAGACAAUAUGAAGACACAGGGAGAAGACGGCCAUGUAACUGGAGUGAUGGCUCUGUAAGCCAGGGAACGCCAAGGAUUGCCAGCAAAUGCCGGAAGCCAGAAGAGGCAAGGAAGUCUUCUCGCCUAGAGCCGUCAGAGGGAGC
This is a long non-coding RNA of Balaenoptera acutorostrata (minke whale), 3320 nucleotides long. RefSeq lists it as uncharacterized. The record is from RefSeq and is a predicted model, not a curated record. The transcript has 3 exons. Lineage: Eukaryota; Metazoa; Chordata; Mammalia; Artiodactyla; Balaenopteridae.